RNAcentral lists this ribosomal RNA (301 nucleotides) under uncultured bacterium. RNAcentral's name for it is "partial 16S ribosomal RNA". It matches the Rfam family "Bacterial small subunit ribosomal RNA", at positions 509 to 809 of the family's 1533-position model. The record is from RNAcentral.
CAGCAGCCACGGGAAUACGUAGGUGGCAAGCGUUGUCCGGAAUUAUUGGGCGUAAAGGGCUCGCAGGCGGUUUCUUAAGUCUGAUGUGAAAGCCCCCGGCUCAACCGGGGAGGGUCACUGAAAACUGGGAAACUUGAGUGCAGAAGAGGAGAGUGGAAUUCCACGUGUAGCGGUGAAAUGCAUAGAGAUGUGGAGGAACACCAGUGGCGAAGGCGACUCUCUGGUCUGUAACUGACGCUGAGGAGCGAAAGCGUGGGGAGCGAACAGGAUUAGAGACCCCAGUAGUCCCUGUCUCUUAUAA